RNAcentral lists this ribosomal RNA (1378 nucleotides) under Salmonella enterica subsp. enterica serovar Thompson. Its description in RNAcentral is "bacterial LSU rRNA". It matches the Rfam family "Bacterial large subunit ribosomal RNA", at positions 1569 to 2925 of the family's 2925-position model. RNAcentral also lists the same sequence under 1 other name. The record is from RNAcentral. Lineage: Bacteria; Pseudomonadati; Pseudomonadota; Gammaproteobacteria; Enterobacterales; Enterobacteriaceae.
ACGAGGCACUACGGUGCUGAAGCAACAAAUGCCCUGCUUCCAGGAAAAGCCUCUAAGCAUCAGGUAACAUCAAAUCGUACCCCAAACCGACACAGGUGGUCAGGUAGAGAAUACCAAGGCGCUUGAGAGAACUCGGGUGAAGGAACUAGGCAAAAUGGUGCCGUAACUUCGGGAGAAGGCACGCUGACACGUAGGUGAAGUGAUUUACUCAUGGAGCUGAAGUCAGUCGAAGAUACCAGCUGGCUGCAACUGUUUAUUAAAAACACAGCACUGUGCAAACACGAAAGUGGACGUAUACGGUGUGACGCCUGCCCGGUGCCGGAAGGUUAAUUGAUGGGGUCAGCGCAAGCGAAGCUCCUGAUCGAAGCCCCGGUAAACGGCGGCCGUAACUAUAACGGUCCUAAGGUAGCGAAAUUCCUUGUCGGGUAAGUUCCGACCUGCACGAAUGGCGUAAUGAUGGCCAGGCUGUCUCCACCCGAGACUCAGUGAAAUUGAACUCGCUGUGAAGAUGCAGUGUACCCGCGGCAAGACGGAAAGACCCCGUGAACCUUUACUAUAGCUUGACACUGAACAUUGAGCCUUGAUGUGUAGGAUAGGUGGGAGGCUUUGAAGCGUGGACGCCAGUCUGCGUGGAGCCGACCUUGAAAUACCACCCUUUAAUGUUUGAUGUUCUAACGUGGACCCGUAAUCCGGGUUGCGGACAGUGUCUGGUGGGUAGUUUGACUGGGGCGGUCUCCUCCUAAAGAGUAACGGAGGAGCACGAAGGUUGGCUAAUCCUGGUCGGACAUCAGGAGGUUAGUGCAAUGGCAUAAGCCAGCUUGACUGCGAGCGUGACGGCGCGAGCAGGUGCGAAAGCAGGUCAUAGUGAUCCGGUGGUUCUGAAUGGAAGGGCCAUCGCUCAACGGAUAAAAGGUACUCCGGGGAUAACAGGCUGAUACCGCCCAAGAGUUCAUAUCGACGGCGGUGUUUGGCACCUCGAUGUCGGCUCAUCACAUCCUGGGGCUGAAGUAGGUCCCAAGGGUAUGGCUGUUCGCCAUUUAAAGUGGUACGCGAGCUGGGUUUAGAACGUCGUGAGACAGUUCGGUCCCUAUCUGCCGUGGGCGCUGGAGAACUGAGGGGGGCUGCUCCUAGUACGAGAGGACCGGAGUGGACGCAUCACUGGUGUUCGGGUUGUCAUGCCAAUGGCACUGCCCGGUAGCUAAAUGCGGAAGAGAUAAGUGCUGAAAGCAUCUAAGCACGAAACUUGCCCCGAGAUGAGUUCUCCCUGAGACUUAGAGUCUCCUGAAGGAACGUUGAAGACGACGACGUUGAUAGGCCGGGUGUGUAAGCGCAGCGAUGCGUUGAGCUAACCGGUACUAAUGAACCGUGAGGCUUAACC